Long non-coding RNA from Glycine soja, 588 nucleotides. RefSeq lists it as uncharacterized. Lineage: Eukaryota; Viridiplantae; Streptophyta; Magnoliopsida; Fabales; Fabaceae. The transcript has 2 exons. The record is from RefSeq and is a predicted model, not a curated record.
AUUCUUAUAAAUGUCGGAAAGAUAGGUCUGCAAUUAUAUUAAAAGUGAAGGGAAGCAAAUAAAAUAAAAAAGUGAAGAAAGAAAUUAGAAAAUAAGGAGAGAUAUGGCGCCACCUUGGGGUCCACCGGCAGGGCCUUCCGGCGGUAUCUGCAGCUGUAUAUGUAACCUUGUAUGUUCUUGUUUGUAUUGUCUGUGUUGCUGCUGUCUCCUGGAGAGUUGUUGCGGCCCAAUGUUUGGUGGACCUCCUCCUCCUGGGCCCCCUGGUCCAGGUUUCUGAUCCAUUCCAGGAUGAAUCGAGGAAAUAAAAAAACAUGAAUCUGUGCUGAGUGUGAUGGUUGUUGUGGCUAGUGGCAACCCCUUUAGUUUCUGUUACAUUUGUUUUAAUGCUGUUAAUAAGGGAUUGUAUUAUGUUCUGUUGUCUGAGGCCUGUUCUUUUGUUUCCCUGAGUAUUUCGUCUUAUUUAAAUAUCAGUGUUUUCUUUAGGCUGAACUGAAACUGAAUGUAAAAUGCAUAACUGUUUGAUUUUAUGAGUUGACGUGUGAAAUUAAUGCAGAAAAAAAAUCAUGAUAUUUCUACAGUUAUUUCUUA